This 372-nucleotide ribosomal RNA is filed under the name uncultured bacterium. RNAcentral describes it as "bacterial SSU rRNA". It matches the Rfam family "Bacterial small subunit ribosomal RNA", at positions 59 to 449 of the family's 1533-position model. The record is from RNAcentral.
AAGUCGAACGCAGCAGCUUCGGCUGGCUGCGUGGCGAACGGCUGAGGAACACGUGGGUAACCUGCCCCGGAGUGGGGGAUACCCCGUCGAAAGACGGGAUAAUCCCGCAUACGCUCUACGGAGGAAAGCCCCUACGGGCGCUCUGGGAGGGGCCUGCGGCCCAUCAGGUUGUUGGUGUGGUAACGGCGCACCAAGCCACUGACGGGUACCCGGUCUGAGAGGACGGCCGGGCAGACUGGGACUGCGACACGGCCCAGACUCCUACGGGAGGCAGCAGCAAGGAAUUUUCCCCAAUGGGCGCAAGCCUGAGGGAGCAACGCCGCGUGGAGGACGACGGCCUUCGGGUUGUAAACUCCUUUCGGGUGGGACGAC